This 897-nucleotide unclassified non-coding RNA is filed under the name Melitaea cinxia (Glanville fritillary). RNAcentral's name for it is "misc RNA ENSMCXG00005015418.1". Lineage: Eukaryota; Metazoa; Arthropoda; Insecta; Lepidoptera; Nymphalidae. The record is from RNAcentral.
AACAAUGUUUACAAAUUUUCUUUGCGGUAUUUGUGAGAAAAUAAUCGUGCUCCGUAAUUUUUUAAUUUUUGACCAAAAGAAACAUUACAAAAUGGUGAAACAUUGUAUUGUGCGUGGAUGUAAAAGAGAUUUAGCAUCUGAUCGCUAAAAUAGAAUGAAUUACUGAAAAACAAUUUGCGUCAAUCAUCUUUAUUCAAAGUACCAAACUACCAAAGAAUAACGUAUUGAGGGAAAAUGGGUAAAAGCUUUAUCACAACAAUUGACUCCAAAUCAGUUUGUGUGAGAAGCACUUUCGCGAAGAAGAUAUUAAGAAAAUUGAUCGAUUGAUUAUUAAUGGAGCUGAAAUUAUCAUCCCUCGCGAAAGGUGGACUCUUUUGAAUGACAAUGUCAUUCCAAUAAACCCUCACGAUUUGGAAAAGGACAUUUCUGAAGAGCAAGUUCCAAUAGUGCAAAAUGACAUUAAUAACUGACCAAUCGAAAACCUGGAUUAUACACAACCCUUGUUAAAAAUCGUUCAAGGUAACAAUUUAAAAGAAGAUUCUCAACCAGCAGGACCCCAUCAUAUGGAAUCACCAGAGAUUGUAACAGCUAAUAAUGUAAAAGACUUAGAUAUUGUUAUGUUUAUCAUAUUGUUAUAGAUUUGCGAGAUUUUAAUAUUUUCUUGUACAUCAAUUUCAACAUUAGGUCAUUAUCUCGAACAUGUCUCCACCAUCAUGUGUUACACUAGAAGAGAUCCAUGCUCAUUUUCACUCAAUACUGAUCCAAGGAUGGUGUUAUUUUGCUUGUGAUGAAGAGUUGAUAUUAUAUAAGAUAUGAAUUUUACUAUUUCCAAUAAUCUUUCAGUGAAGGUAAAUAAUUUUCUCAUGCUUUUUUGAAUAAUUUUAUCUAUUCAUAAUG